Molecule: ribosomal RNA, 219 nt
Filed under: uncultured bacterium
Lineage: Bacteria
Description: partial 16S ribosomal RNA
Rfam family: Bacterial small subunit ribosomal RNA
Source: RNAcentral
ACAUAUCCAACCUGCCGUCUACUCUUGGACAGCCUUCUGAAAGGAAGAUUAAUACAAGAUGGCAUCAUGAGUCCGCAUGUUCACAUGAUUAAAGGUAUUCCGGUAGACGAUGGGGAUGCGUUCCAUUAGAUAGUAGGCGGGGUAACGGCCCACCUAGUCUUCGAUGGAUAGGGGUUCUGCGAGGAAGGUCCCCCACAUUGGAACUGAGACACGGUCCAA